GGGAGGAGCCAGGCUGCCUCGAGGGCCCUGGCUUUCGGCGCCCUCAAGGCUCAGAUCAUCCGGGCAUUGGAGCAGCGGGCAGAGACCUGGUUCCUCACCCACUGGCUCAGCCACCACGGCAGAGCAGCUGGAAGGAGAGCUGUCACUGAUAUUUUCAAGCAUGGCUCCGCUGUUGCUCCACUUGCCCUUUGCCACUGUCUUUAGGUUUUUGAAGGCAACGUUUUCUUGGACCUGCUUUUUUUUCUGUAUAUUUUUUACUGGGUUUUCAUAGUAUUGAGUUUGGCAAGUAUUGUUGAGUUUUCUGCAUGACAAAAGCUGGGGAAAAUGAGGAAAAAAGAAAAAGACACCGACUUUUCUAUUUGUGAGCUCAGGUGGAGUGGAGACAGAAAGCUAAACUGAACUUUCCUCACGAAGGGUGAGGUACUACCUAUGCCUGAGCCUUUCCAGUCCAUGAAGCUGCUCUAUAACACUCACAACUCCCACACCAGGCAUGAUAGCUCGCCCCACUCCUUGCUCUGCCCAUGUCCCUGUGAUGUUGCAGUUGCUAAUUUACUUCCCAAACCAGCCAGGAUGCCAUAGUGUGAUGCUGAGUAUUCACAGCGCACUCCUGGGCUUUCCUAAACUCUAUUCUAACCCCAGUUACAUGGUUCAUGGUUGUGGCCAUUGGUAGAUUUUUUUUUUUAAAGUCAAAACCAGAUUAAGCUCUGAGGCUAUCAGUGUUGUAAAGUCUAUAAUUAUUUGGAAAGUGGCCAGCUGGGAGCUGUGAAGGGUUAAAGUUGUAUCUGCCUCUGGAGAAACACAGGGCUCUGCGUCCUCAGGAAACUGUCAGCAGAUGGUGUUCACUGUCCUCCAUGUCCCAGCAUCCUUCUCGUCCACUUCCGUCUCCUACCUUCAGCCCUGCCCCAGAUUCUGGAGUGUGGCCAUGGAUAAUGUGCUUUGAGAGGCACUGCUCCAUACAUGUUAGAACUAGUAGCCCCUCUGAGGGCGUGCAAAGGAGCCUGCCUUGGCAAGAAGUCCAUUUGUUCUUGCCCACAAGUCAUUUGAAAUGGUUUCGUUCAAAACUAUUAUUUCUGAAUCUUGGCCGGUUUUUACAGGAACAAUUAGGUGUCCUGUGACCACUGCCUCCUAUCGUCACUGCAGAAGACGCACUCGUGAGCUCUGUGGAAAUGGCCGGGCACUGUGCGAAUGAGGCCUUGCCAUCUUAAACAGCUACAAAGACAUGUGGGAUCUCACAUCCAACCCAAGAUCCACUCUCACCUGCCCUUGUCUCAUCUACUCCUGUCUGAAUUGCACCUAUGAGAGAAGACUUGGCAUGAACAUCAAGAUGAGUCCGUUCACUUCCCCCCAGUUUGAGAAUCCUGCCAUGACUGGCACUCCUGUGGCAAUGACUCUCACAGAAGCUCACGCAACGACAAGAAGCUGCUCGGCCAGAAAUUAUGCCUAAAACUAUACCAGAUGGUGCACACCAAGGCUCAGUUCAAUGUGCAGUGUGGUCGUGACUCCUGCUCAUGCAUUCCUCUGCCUGUGGCUGAGAAGGUGCUGGUGACUCAGCUUCUCAAAGGCUAUUGGAGACUUGCCUAUGCACUGCUUGAUUGCACAGUCUCUAAGGAUGUCUACUUAAAAUAAACACACAGCAACAACAAAAUACCCCAGAAAAAACUCAAAUAUCCGAAUGGAUAAAACAGAAUAUAGACAUACAAUGGAAUAUUACUCAGUCUUUAAAAGAGGGAUAUUCUGACACAUGCUACAACAUAGAUGAACUUUGAGGACAUUAUGUCAAAUGAAAUAAGCUAAACAAAAGGGACAGAAUACUGCAUAAUUCCACUUAUAUGAGGUACGUUGUGUAGUCUGCAUUCAGUGGUUAUGGUGGCUGUGGGUUGGAGGUUAUUGUCUAAUGAAUUGAGAGUUUUAAUUUGGGAAGGUGAACAAUUUCUGGAGGAAGAUAGUAGUGAUGAUUACACAACAAUGUGAAUGUACUUAAUGCCACUGAAUUGUACAUUUAAGACAGGUGAUAAUGUUAUACAUAUUUUACCACAGUAAAAAGUGAUCACAUUUAGAAACCCUGACA
Molecule: long non-coding RNA, 2068 nt
Organism: Myotis myotis
Lineage: Eukaryota; Metazoa; Chordata; Mammalia; Chiroptera; Vespertilionidae
Exons: 3
Source: RefSeq, a predicted model, not a curated record